CUCCUACGGGAGGCAGCAGUGGGGAAUAUUGGACAAUGGGCGAAAGCCUGAUCCAGCCAUGCCGCGUGAGUGAAGAAGGCCUUCGGGUUGUAAAGCUCUUUUAGUCGGAAAGAAAGAGUUGCAAUGAAUAAUUGUGAUUUAUGACGGUACCGACAGAAAAAGCACCGGCUAACUACGUGCCAGCGCCGCGGUAA
Molecule: ribosomal RNA, 194 nt
Filed under: uncultured Nitrosomonas sp.
Lineage: Bacteria; Pseudomonadati; Pseudomonadota; Betaproteobacteria; Nitrosomonadales; Nitrosomonadaceae
Description: partial 16S ribosomal RNA
Rfam family: Bacterial small subunit ribosomal RNA
Source: RNAcentral